UAGGGGCUGACACAUACAAUUUCUCCUUACUGCUUCAGCCAAAUUCUGUUAUUCCUUCCUCUAUAUGCUGUACCAAAAUGUAGUUUAUUAUCAACGUGAAAUGGUUGCUGGUUGGUAUAAGUCAGCGGCGUUGGUUUAAGCACAUAAUUGACGUUUUGUUUACAUGUGUUGAAUGGAAAUCAAUGGGAGCCGGCAAUACCUAAAUAGCGG
Alosa sapidissima (American shad) is the source of this 210-nucleotide long non-coding RNA. RefSeq lists it as uncharacterized. Lineage: Eukaryota; Metazoa; Chordata; Actinopteri; Clupeiformes; Clupeidae. The transcript has 3 exons. The record is from RefSeq and is a predicted model, not a curated record.